CUUUUUCUGAAGGUGCUGAAAAUUUUAUAUCAGAGAGAAGUCCAUUUAUUCUGAAAGACAUAAAGCUUCUGACUUACUGAGAGGACAAUGUUUUAGUAGCACCUUCCGCUGCUGCCCUGUCAUUCUCCGUCACGUCCUCAACCCACUGGCUCUUUUUGUUGUGGGUCCCAAGCAGCUGUGCAGAGUCAACCGCAAUACCCUCCAGGCUUCUGAAGUUCCCAAUCAGUGGAUCAGCUUGUGUUUAUAAACACAGAACAGAUUUUGUAUCGCAUCACCAA
This 278-nucleotide long non-coding RNA is filed under the name Fukomys damarensis (Damara mole-rat). Its description in RNAcentral is "lncRNA (ENSFDAG00000023343.1)". Lineage: Eukaryota; Metazoa; Chordata; Mammalia; Rodentia; Bathyergidae. The record is from RNAcentral.